Molecule: unclassified non-coding RNA, 349 nt
Filed under: uncultured fungus
Lineage: Eukaryota; Fungi
Description: partial contains small subunit ribosomal RNA, internal transcribed spacer 1, and 5.8S ribosomal RNA
Rfam family: Eukaryotic small subunit ribosomal RNA (bases 1-73)
Source: RNAcentral
UCAAACUUGGUCAUUUAGAGGAAGUAAAAGUCGUAACAAGGUUUCCGUAGGUGAACCUGCGGAAGGAUCAUUACAGUAGUAAUGCACGGAGCACGCCGGCCCUCCGGGGACGGAUCCUCCGACGUCCGGACACCCGUCCUGUGGCGUUUAACCCUCUGUGAAAACCCCCAGUUGCUUCGGCAGCGCGCCCUACCCCCUCGCGGGGAAAGGCGGUCAGCCUGCCGACGGCACCCAACCGAAAACCCUUACGUGUAAUUUAGCAUAAUUUUACGUCUGAGCGCGAAGUCGAAUUGACUAUAAAACUUUCAACAACGGAUCUCUUGGUUCCCGCAUCGAUGAAGAACGCAGC